This is a non-coding RNA of Schizosaccharomyces pombe (fission yeast), 2275 nucleotides long. The record is from the annotation of a GenBank genome assembly. NCBI's taxonomy places the organism in Eukaryota, Fungi, Ascomycota, Schizosaccharomycetes, Schizosaccharomycetales, Schizosaccharomycetaceae.
AACUAUUGAUGCCAAAAAAUAUAUUAUGUACCAAAAUAACAAAAACAUUACGUUAAUCAUAUAAAAGAUGAUCUAGAAUUAAAGAUGAAUGGUCAAAAUGUCGGAAACCGAAAAAGGUGUUUCACACUGCGGACAUGUACUUGUUUUAUGCUCAUAAAAAGGUUCCAUACAAUUAGAACAAAAGGCAUGACCACAGUUUGGAAUGAGUUUAGAUUUCCAAUUAGAAAAGUUGCACACGGAGCAUUUUAACAUUCCUUUGUAUACUUGAGCCUCUUGUGUUUCAUAUGCCUGGUUUAUAAGAUGAGACUCUUUCUUAUUAUACGAAGCUUUUAUGGAUAAAAUAGUAUGCUCUUCUUGCAAAUGAAACAACUUCUGAUGCAUGAUCAUAAGCUUUUCCCCAGAUUUUUGAACAGACUCUAUAAGAUCUUCAAGUUUUUGAGUAAGUUUUGUUUGCUUAACUUGUAAGUGCUUAUCUUCUGUUAAAACUUCGACCGAGUGUUUCCCGUAGAUUUCCUUUAUUUGUUUAUAAACUUCCAAUUCAGCUUUUAAAGAGGAUUCAUAUUUUGUUAGCGCAUGUUCUCGCUCUUGCAACUUCCCUAUAUAAUCAUGUUCUUUAUUUUCGGCCAGUUUAAGAGUUUUCUUCUCUGUCAUAAGAAUGUCCCGAGCUUUCAUGGCAGCAAAAUAUUUUUGGGUGGCACGAGCCUUUUCAUAAUGCAUUUCCAAAGCUUUUUUCUCCUUCGUUUCAAGUUCUUCAUAUUUCUUCAACAAACGAGAUUGUGAUUGAUCAAAUGCUGCAUACAUACUUGGGAGUUCAGCCUCCAAACAACUAUUAUUUUUUAUUAGUUUUUCCAAAGCUGAAGACGCAGAAAUUUCUUCUUUUUCAUCUAGGACAUUAUUCAUCUCACCAGUCUUAGACCUUUCAAUACGAUCCCAUAUGCACAAUCGAUUUGAAUAACCUUCUAGAAUUGCAACCCGAGCGUUUGACAAGUUGCUUAAUAAAAGCAUCAUAUCGUCAAAAAAUAGAUUGUUAGUAUAUUGCAUUUGUUGUUUCGCCACUAGAGAGUCUCGUUCGUUACGAAUUUGGGUUAAAGAUGAUUCAAGGGUUUUAAUAAGUUGUUGUUUCUCUUUUACACAUGCCAAUUUUAAAUCAAUAAUAUCCUUCUGUCGUUUCGUCCGUUGAGAAAUAAAAAACUGAAUGUCCUCAAACAAUGAAGAGAGGUCCCGAUUAAUGGAUUCGAUUUUCUCUUCAUUUGAAGAAAGAACCCCCUUCAGCUCUAAAUAAUGGGGCUCUCUACUCACUCUUUCAUCCGUUAUACCCAUAAUGUCGACGUACAAUUGUGCUGCACGAGUUGAUUUUUGAGAAAGUUCAUCCAAUUUGGAAUUUAUAUUUGCUUGCAUCAAAUCAGCUUGAGAUUGAAAAUUGUUUUUUAGUUUUGAAAUAUUAUCAUUAUCAUUUAAACAUCCUUCCCCAUUUUCGAGAAUUGCUUUUGGUUCCGAAGCAGGGAUAUCAUCAGCGAUAUUUUCAAUACUUCUUUCGGAAGCACUAGUAAGCUGAUCUUGCUGCACCCGUUUCCAUUCUAAUUCAGCUGAAUUCAAAGCUUCACGAAAGAAGGAAAGUUUCCUUUUUAGGAGUGCCAACUUAAGUUGGCUAGUACGGUAAUUAAUCAUACUUGUAAAAUGAACCUGGCGUUGGUCUAUCCAUUCAUGGACGUUUGGAGUUUCUUUUAAUUUAAAAGAACCAAAUUUAGCUAACUUUUGUAGAGUAGGUUCAUGGGCUUGAAAAUAGGAAGCAUACUUAUUCAAAUAGUUUUGCGCAUCUUUGAUUAAACUGAACUCAGCAAGUGACAAAUCUAGUGUCUGUAAAUUAUCAUCAGGUUGAUAUAAAGAAGCAGUGAUUUUCUCUAGUUCUUCAAAUGAUUGUUCAUGAUUUUCCAGAGCAGCAGCAACGUAAUGAUCAAGUUUCAAAACUAGAGAUUCCCAAUACUCGUAUAAUUUCUUUUCCAAAACAGUGAGAUGCUCAUACUCUCUAGAUCUUCGCCAAGCUGCUUCCUUUUGAAAUAACUCUAAGUCAUCUUCUUCUCCGAGGUCUAAACGACGCGUUUCUUUUUCGCUGUGAAUAAGACGUCUUCUUUUCCUCGAUUCAUUCACAACGCUCAUUCCACUUCAAAAAAAUUCCUUUUCUAUUUUAUAAUUAAAAUAAAGUACUUAGGAUCAAAAUAUGUGCUCAUUAACAUUCACUAAGCCAAUUCCUACGGUUAAUGAGUUUUUUCAGGUU